Molecule: transfer RNA, 84 nt
Filed under: Umbilicaria muhlenbergii
Lineage: Eukaryota; Fungi; Ascomycota; Lecanoromycetes; Umbilicariales; Umbilicariaceae
Description: tRNA-Ser (TGA) (tRNA-Ser-TGA-2-1)
Rfam family: tRNA
About the family: Transfer RNA (tRNA) molecules are approximately 80 nucleotides in length. Their secondary structure includes four short double-helical elements and three loops (D, anti-codon, and T loops). Further hydrogen bonds mediate the characteristic L-shaped molecular structure. tRNAs have two regions of fundamental functional importance: the anti-codon, which is responsible for specific mRNA codon recognition, and the 3' end, to which the tRNAs corresponding amino acid is attached (by aminoacyl-tRNA synthetases). tRNAs cope with the degeneracy of the genetic code in two manners: having more than one tRNA (with a specific anti-codon) for a particular amino acid; and 'wobble' base-pairing, i.e. permitting non-standard base-pairing at the 3rd anti-codon position.
Source: RNAcentral
GCCGCCAUGGCGCAGUGGUAACGCGUGAGUUUUGAAAUCUCACUUGCAAUGCGAAGAUCCCUAGUUCAAUUCUGGGUGGCGGCA